RNAcentral lists this long non-coding RNA (1266 nucleotides) under Monodelphis domestica (gray short-tailed opossum). RNAcentral describes it as "lncRNA (ENSMODG00000050977.1)". The record is from RNAcentral. Lineage: Eukaryota; Metazoa; Chordata; Mammalia; Didelphimorphia; Didelphidae.
AUGAGACAUGAGCACAGCCUGGUUAAAACAAUUUUAGCAGGCAGGUACACCAAGUUGGAUAAAGCUUACUUUUCUUCUUCUUUCUUCUUCUUCUUCUUCUUCUUCUUCUUCUUUCUUCUUUCUUCUUUUUCUUCUUCUUCUUCUCUGGCUCCCUCUCUCAGUCUCUCUCUGACUCUCAAUCUCUCUCUCUGUCUCUCAGUCUCUCUCUCUCUCUUUAUCUCUCUCUCAAUCUUUCUCAGUCUCUCUCUCUCUCUCCCUCUUUCUCUCUCUUCUCUAUCUGACUCCUCUAUCUCAUUCUCUUUUUUUAAAUACUGAUGAAUCACUCCUGACUCUUAUUCAUUUGACUCAUACAACUGUGUUUAAGUUGAAGUUCAAGAAUACUAGGUCACCCUCAUUAUAUCUGAUCUGGCAGUCACAAUGGGCAGGAUUUAAUUUGGAAGAAAAUAUUUGAUUCUAAUUUGCAUUUUGUGUGUGUGUGUUUUAAGUAUCUACUUGGUUAACACAUUCACAUGCUAAAAGCUUGAGCGAAUGUAUGUGGUCAUUCAUUUUGCAGUUUGGAAGGAUUUGUAUUGUUCAAACUUUCCAGCAGGCAAUGAACCAGUCCACACUUGAAAAAGGCCUUUACAUCUAUCUCCCUUCCCCUGGAAUUCAGUUGUCUAGCUCUACAGAUUCAAAGUCAUAGGCUUUACAUUUUCCCCCUAUUAUGGAAAUAUGAACAUUAACAGGGGAAUCAAAUUCAUACUCCUACAUAUAUAUUACUUUCUAUUUUUAAUAAGUCUACAAAAACAAUAAUAGCCCAUUCAAGUUUUCAUUCAAAAAUAAUCUUGAAUUUCCCUCCUUUGCUUUGGGUUUUUCUAAAAAAAAAAAAUAGACAUUCCACUGUAGAAACCAUGAUUGAUUGGCAACAGUGAGCAAAGGAGGGAAACCUUUGUUCCCUAAACCAGAAAAAAAAAAUAUAUAUAUAUAUCUAGUCCACUAUAGAGACUUAAAUUUUAGGAAGUGAAUAUUGAUGCAUUAAAUUGAGAAUGAAAUAUGACUAGUUUACUUCAAUGUCCUGGAAACUGAUAGUAUUUUUCUAUGGUGUUAGAAACAUUUUCUGUACUAAAUGAUAGAUAUUUUCAUUUUACACUUUUUUCUACAUGUCCAUUAAAGGAAAUGGUCUAAACCUGGUUUUCCUGGAUUCUGGUUUCCUUAGCUGUAAAUCAACACAAUAUGGCCAAUUUUCCACUUUCCAAUGAAAUAAAGUCAUGGUUUUCUAGACGCUCA